CUCCGCUCCAUAUCGGUGGAUAAGACAUGCUAGUCGAGCGCCUCAGCCAAAACGAGGCGCGGCAUACAGCUCAGUAACAUUUUGCUAAUCUGCCCUUGGGACAAAAACAACCCCGGGAAACCGGGGCUAAUUUUUGACAGAUGAAGAACUCUGGAAUGAGUCUUCGUUUAAAAGACUUCACGUUAUGCUCGUGAUGUUGCCCAAGGAUGAGGCCGCGACCGAUCAGGUUGUUGGUGAGGUAAUGGCUCACCAAGCCUUUUACCGGUGCGGGCCGUGAGAGCGGGAGCCCGGAGAUGGGCACUGAGACAAGGGCCCAGGCCCUACGGGGCGCAGCAGUCGCGAAAACUUUGCAAUACACGAAAGUGUGACAGGGCUAUCCCGAGUGCCUUCCGCUGAGGAGGGCUUUUACCUAGUAUAGACCGCUAGGGGAAUAAGGAGAGGGCAAGUCUGGUGUCAGCCGCCGCGGUAAUACCAGCUCUCCGAGUGGUGUGGAUGUUUAUUGGGCCUAAAGCAUCCGUAGCUGGCUAAGUUAGUCCCUUGUUAAAACCACCGAAUUAAUCGGUGGAUUGCGGGGGAUACUGCUUGGCUAGGGGACGAGAGAGGCAGACGGUAUUUUCGGGGUAGGGGUGAAAUCCUAUAAUCCCGGGAAGACCACCAGUGGCGAAGGCUGUCUGCUAGAACGCGCCCGACGGUGAGGGAUGAAAGCUGGGGGAGCGAACCGGAUUAGAUACCCGGGUAGUCCCAGCCGUAAACGAUGCAGGCUAGGUGUUUGGACGGCCACGUGCCGUUCUAGUGCCGCAGGGAAACUGUUAAGCCUGCCGCCUGGGGAGUACGAUCGCAAGAUUGAAACUCAAAAGAAUUGACGGAAUCACUAGUGAAUU
RNAcentral lists this ribosomal RNA (881 nucleotides) under uncultured archaeon. RNAcentral's name for it is "bacterial SSU rRNA". It matches the Rfam family "Archaeal small subunit ribosomal RNA", at positions 20 to 886 of the family's 1478-position model. The record is from RNAcentral.